UACGAAGGGGGCUAGCGUUGUUCGGAAUUACUGGGCGUAAAGCGCGCGUAGGCGGUGAACUUUGUCAGAGGUGAAAUCCCGAGGCUCAACUUCGGAAUUGCCUUUGAAACGGGUUCGCUUGAGUCCGAGAGAGGAUGGCGGAAUUCCUAGUGUAGAGGUGAAAUUCGUAGAUAUUAGGAAGAACACCGGUGGCGAAGGCGGCCAUCUGGCUCGGUACUGACGCUCAGGCGCGAAAGCGUGGGGAGCAAACAGG
Molecule: ribosomal RNA, 253 nt
Filed under: uncultured bacterium
Lineage: Bacteria
Description: partial 16S ribosomal RNA
Rfam family: Bacterial small subunit ribosomal RNA
Source: RNAcentral